AGGUGUUUCUAGAAUUACAU
RNAcentral lists this ribosomal RNA (20 nucleotides) under Oziotelphusa hippocastanum. RNAcentral's name for it is "partial 12S ribosomal RNA". The record is from RNAcentral. Lineage: Eukaryota; Metazoa; Arthropoda; Malacostraca; Decapoda; Parathelphusidae.